RNAcentral lists this ribosomal RNA (253 nucleotides) under uncultured bacterium. RNAcentral describes it as "partial 16S ribosomal RNA". It matches the Rfam family "Bacterial small subunit ribosomal RNA", at positions 524 to 776 of the family's 1533-position model. The record is from RNAcentral.
UACGGGGGGUGCAAGCGUUGUUCGGAAUCAUUGGGCGUAAAGAGCGUGUAGGCGGCGCGAUAAGUCAGAUGUGAAAGCCCUGGGCUUAACCCAGGAAGGGCAUUUGAAACUGUCACGCUGGAGUACGGGAGAGGGAAGUGGAAUUCCUGGUGUAGAGGUGAAAUUCGUAGAGAUCAGGAGGAACACCGGUGGCGAAGGCGACUUCCUGGCCCGAUACUGACGAUGAGACGCGAGAGAGUGGGGAGCAAACAGG